CGUUAAGCCAGCCCAGGGGACGGCAGAGCAGCCUGAGGAAGCAACAACUGUCACCACGGUCUGCCCGGGAAGCACUGAGGUGAUGCUGGGGUUGCAGUGAGCUGUUGAACUAGAUGUGUCAGAAAUGAGAAAGGAGAUGAGAGAACAAAUUAGAAUACAGAGUGAUCGACACUUUGAUGAAGGAAGUAGAUGGAGCCUGGGGUCCAUGAAACCCACUGCCAAACCAACCCAGACAGACUUAGUGUGACAUUACAAGCAUCCGGGUGGAACUCCAAGACAUAGUUAUUUCAAGAUUAUGAAGAGUGUGGUGGCCAAAAUCCAAGAUGGCCGCAUGAUCCCUCCUCCAGGUACUCAUGCCCUUGUAUGGUAUGCUCCCACAGUCUUCUGAGGAUUCGGUUGUAUGACUGAUCGAAUACAGCAGAGGCAAUGGCAUAGGACAUCUGAGGCUAUGUCAUCUAAGGGAUACACAGGAAUUCACUCCCAUCCUCCCAUGUGGCUUCUACUUUGCUCUUAAUCUCUCAGAUCUCUCACCCUGGCAGACACCAUCCACCAUGUCCUGAGGACACUCAAGCAGCUCUGUGGCCUCCUGACAAUAGCUGUUAGGUGAAACACCUUGGGUGCAGACCCUCUAGCCCCACUCCAGCCUUCAGAAGACAGCAGCCCCAACUCACAUGGGACCCCGAGCCAGACCACCAAGCAAACCACUCCCAGAUUCCUGACCCACAGAAACU
This 731-nucleotide non-coding RNA is filed under the name Pan troglodytes (chimpanzee). Lineage: Eukaryota; Metazoa; Chordata; Mammalia; Primates; Hominidae. The record is from RNAcentral.